CAGCCGCCGCGGUAAUACGUAGGUGGCAAGCGUUGUCCGGAAUUAUUGGGCGUAAAGGGCUCGCAGGCGGUUUCUUAAGUCUGAUGUGAAAGCCCCCGGCUCAACCGGGGAGGGUCAUUGGAAACUGGGAAACUUGAGUGCAGAAGAGGAGAGUGGAAUUCCACGUGUAGUGGUGAAAUGCGUAGAGAUGUGGAGGAACACCAGUGGCGAAGGCGACUCUCUGGUCUGUAACUGACGCUGAGGAGCGAAAGCGUGGGGAGCGAACAGGAUUAGAUACCCGAGUAGUCCCUGUCUCUUAUAC
Molecule: ribosomal RNA, 301 nt
Filed under: uncultured bacterium
Lineage: Bacteria
Description: partial 16S ribosomal RNA
Rfam family: Bacterial small subunit ribosomal RNA
Source: RNAcentral